GACGAACGCUGGCGGCGUGCUUAACACAUGCAAGUCGAACGGAAAGGCCCCUUUGGGGGUCCUCGAGUGGCGAACGGGUGAGUAACACGUGAGUAACCUGCCCUUGACUUCGGGAUAACUUCAGGAAACUGGGGCUAAUACCGGAUAGGAAUCCUUGCUGCAUGGUGGGGGUUGGAAAGCUUCGGCGGUUUUGGAUGGACUCGCGGCGUAUCAGCUUGUUGGUGGGGUAGUGGCUUACCAAGGCUUUGACGGGUAGCCGGCCUGAGAGGGCGACCGGCCACAUUGGGACUGAGAUACGGCCCAGACUCCUACGGGAGGCAGCAGUGGGGAAGAUUGCACAAGGGGCGGGAGCCUGAUGCAGCAGCGCCGCGUGCGGGAUGACGGCCUUCGGGCUGGAAACCGAUUUCAGCAGGGGCGAAGCUUGUGGUGACGGUACCUGCAGAAGAAGCACCGGCUAACUACGUG
RNAcentral lists this ribosomal RNA (465 nucleotides) under uncultured bacterium. RNAcentral describes it as "partial 16S ribosomal RNA". It matches the Rfam family "Bacterial small subunit ribosomal RNA", at positions 28 to 507 of the family's 1533-position model. The record is from RNAcentral.